This is a long non-coding RNA of Ictalurus punctatus (channel catfish), 3404 nucleotides long. Lineage: Eukaryota; Metazoa; Chordata; Actinopteri; Siluriformes; Ictaluridae. The record is from Ensembl.
GUCCACACAGGAUGCCGCUGAGCUUUUUUUUUGUGAUUGUUGCAGCCAAAAAAUGCUCGAUUUUGCUGCAGCUUUUUCCAAAAUGUGCGAUGCAACUUGCAAAGUUUUUUGUGGAAAACUACUUGAAUUGCGUGAGAUUGUCUUUCACAGUGACUGUUGUUGGUAAAUGAGACCUUUUAGCUGUAUUAAUGAAUUGAAGAGGGUCUUUGGCUGAAGGCGUGCUGUGAUGACAUCACACGACACGUCUAGGCCCAAAUCUGCGGAAAAUCCGCAGUAAGUUUUUUUUUUUUUAAUUGCAAGCUCCUCUGAAUACCGCAGAGUUUCCUUGAUUUUGCUUUCAUGUCUGUGAUCGCAUAAUCCUGGAGGGACCGGUAAGUAGUCUGUGACCUGGUCAUUCACAACAGAAGUAAGCUGUAAGCAAAUACUCAUACACACUUCAUCAGCUUAUACUGGCUCUUCAAUAAAUACAAGAAGUGCUUCAACUGAUAAUGCAAAGCAAUGAAAAUGUGUACCAUUCGUCAGCGUCUUUACGCCACGCCGGUCGUUCGUCGGCGUCUUUACAGUAAAGGUUGUCGUUCGUCGGCGUCUUUACAGUAAAGGUUGUCGUUCGUCGGCGUCUUUACAGUAAGGCUGUCGUUCGUCGGCGUCUUUACAGUAAAGGUUGUCGUUCGUCGGCGUCUUUACAGUAAAGGUUGUCGUUCGUCGGCGUCUUUACAGUAAGGCUGUCGUUCGUCGGCGUCUUUACAGUAAGGCUGUCGUUCAUCGCGUCUUUACAGUAAGGCUGUCGUUCGUCGGCGUCUUUACAGUAAGGCUGUCGUUCGUCGGCGUCUUUACAGUAAGGCUGUCGUUCGUCGGCGUCUUUACAGUAAGGCUGUCGUUCGUCGGCGUCUUUACAGUAAGGCUGUCGUUCGUCGGCGUCUUUACAGUAAGGCUGUCGUUCGUCGGCGUCUUUACAGUAAAGGUUGUCGUUCGUCGGCGUCUUUACAGUAAGGCUGUCGUUCGUCGGCGUCUUUACAGUAAAGGUUGUCGUUCGUCGGCGUCUUUACAGUAAGGCUGCCGUUCGUCGGCGUCUUUACAGUAAGGCUGUCGUUCGUCGGCGUCUUUACAGUAAAGGUUGUCGUUCGUCGGCGUCUUUACAGUAAAGGUUGUCGUUCGUCGGCGUCUUUACAGCAAGGCUGUCGUUCGUCGGCGUCUUUACAGUAAAGGUUGUCGUUCGUCGGCGUCUUUACAGUAAAGGUUGUCGUUCGUCGGCGUCUUUACAGUAAGGCUGUCGUUCGUCGGCGUCUUUACAGUAAAGGUUGUCGUUCGUCGGCGUCUUUACAGUAAAGGUUGUCGUUCGUCGGCGUCUUUACAGUAAAGGCUGUCGUUCGUCGGCGUCUUUACAGUAAAGGUUGUCGUUCGUCGGCGUCUUUACAGUAAGGUUGUCGUUCGUCGGCGUCUUUACAGUAAGGCUGUCGUUCGUCGGCGUCUUUACAGUAAAGGCUGUCGUUCGUCGGCGUCUUUACAGUAAAGGUUGUCGUUCGUCGGCGUCUUUACAGUAAAGGUUGUCGUUCGUCGGCGUCUUUACAGUAAAGGUUGUCGUUCGUCGGCGUCUUUACAGUAAGGCUGUCGUUCGUCGGCGUCUUUACAGUAAAGGUUGUCGUUCGUCGGCGUCUUUACAGUAAAGGUUGUCGUUCGUCGGCGUCUUUACAGUAAAGGUUGUCGUUCAUCGGCGUCUUUACAGUAAAGGUUGUCGUUCGUCAGUGUCUUUACAGGAAGCUGGACAUUUGUCAGCGUUUUUAACAUUGCGCUAAUCAUUUGUUAGUGUUUUUUUCAGAACAGUUAAUGUGCUACUUCAGAAUGUGUGAAAUCAUUCACUUUCUGUAGAAAUCUCUGGUGAAAUGCUAGAACAUACAAAAUGAACAGUGGUAGUCCAUAUCUGGCUUCAUAUGUAUGCAAAUUACACUGGAACUAUCUUGGAGCUAACAUAACACUGGUUAGCUGUUAGCACAAAACAGGUUUGCUUGUGCAAACAGACGUAGGCUGCCUUCAAAUCCUAUCGGAAAUCUCUUCCUGAGUGUGCAGAGAGCUCUGUGUCUCCGAACGCCGUGCAUGCACGAUACUGCUCAUCCUAAGCACACAGUAGCCCAAGAGCUCAACUAUACUGAAUAAAACAUUGAACACAAUAUAUUUUGUCACCAUGUUACACAUUUAAUACAUCUGUUACUAACAGACUCGUAGUAUACUUUUCCAGAUUAACAAAGUAAUAAUGGAACAAUUUAUCAAUUAUACAAAUAGUAGUUAGUUGCGGCACUGAUGAAAAUAAAUAAUUUGCAGGAAUGAUCGUGAUCGGAAGCUUUUUUUGGUCCGACUACACAACCGUUCGUUCUGGUCUACUAAUCUGACUGGACUAGAGGUGUUCCAAGAGUGCUGAUGUUUAGAACAACAGUCCUGCUACAGUACGUUUCACUGUUUGUCUGUGUUCACUACAUAAAAUUCCAGCUCUAGCAAUAGUUCACUGCAUUGAAACCGUUACUACACUUUCUAUGCGCUGUCAAUCAGUCUGUGUGGUGGCAUGGCAACGCCCAACACACUACCCCAGCUUUGGCUUCUUUGGGAAUUAUUUUGACGGAGCACAGAAAAACUAAAUAUUUGGCCAUAUUGUUAAUAUUAAUUUGAAUUACUUGAUAUUAAUUUCUUGUUUAUAGAACUGUUGUAUAAAAGCAAUAUCACAAGACUCCAUUACUAAAGAAAAGGCAUGUUGAAGCUCGUUUAAAGUUUGCGACAACUCAUUUGGACAAGCCUAUGAAAUACUGGGAGAGUGUAGUCUGGCCAGACGAGGGCGAGAUUUACUUUUUGGCUGUUAUACUACACACCAUGUUUGGGGAAGAAAUGGCACUGCACAUCACUCUAAUCGAUCCAAAACAUACAGCAAAGGAAACUCAGUUGGUUUUGGAGAAAAAAAAUCAAGGCGUUAGAAUGUCCCAGUCAAUCACCUGACUCGAAUCCAGCUGAACAAGAUUUAAAGACGAUAUGUUUAGAAGAACGGGCCAAAAUCACACCUGAAUACUGCGGCACAUUAAUUUCUUCAUACAGGAAGCGUCUUGAAGCCGUCAAUACAAACAAAGGCUUCUCCACUACGUAUUAAAUACAUUUCAGUUAGUGUGUUCAGUACUUUGUUCCCUGUGUCAUUCCUCUUUAUUACACACUAAACUUCAUUUAUGGAUUUUAAUGUUUGGAUUUCUUUAUAUGUGUGGAUUUCUUGAGUUAAUACCAAAGUCUGGUGUAAAUUUCAUGUGAAUGGCCUCAUUGGAAAUAUAUUUACUGAACAAAAGUUGACGCGUUCAAUACUUAUUUCCCCUACGGUGUGUGUCCUGUCGCACAAUGUGGUGAAAACUCUACACGAUGUUAACAGUGUGAUUAAG